UACGAAGGGGGCUAGCGUUGUUCGGAAUUACUGGGCGUAAAGCGCACGUAGGCGGAUUUGUAAGUCGGGGGUGAGAUCCCGGGGCUCAACCUCGGAACUGCCUUUGAUACUGUUGGUCUCGAGUCCGAGAGAGGUGGGUGGAAUUCCUAGUGUAGAGGUGAAAUUCGUAGAUAUUAGGAAGAACACCGGUGGCGAAGGCGGCCCACUGGCUCGGUACUGACGCUGAGGUGCGAAAGCGUGGGGAGCAAACAGG
RNAcentral lists this ribosomal RNA (253 nucleotides) under uncultured bacterium. Its description in RNAcentral is "partial 16S ribosomal RNA". It matches the Rfam family "Bacterial small subunit ribosomal RNA", at positions 524 to 776 of the family's 1533-position model. The record is from RNAcentral.